This is a non-coding RNA of Gossypium arboreum, 143 nucleotides long. NCBI's taxonomy places the organism in Eukaryota, Viridiplantae, Streptophyta, Magnoliopsida, Malvales, Malvaceae. The record is from Rfam.
UAUUAAAAAUUUCAUUCAUUUCUAUUGUUAAAAAUUGACGUGACUAACAGAAUAACCACAAUUACAUGUGGCGUACCAAGUGUACCUCGUGCUGAAGUAUAGGAACUAGUUUUUAACAGUAGAAAUGGAUGGAAGUUUUAACA